GCCUAGCCAUAAAUCUUGGCACUUCCCCUACCAAAGUGCCCGCCCGAGAACUACGAGCACAAACGCUUAAAACUCUAAGGACUUGGCGGUGCCCCAAACCCACCUAGAGGAGCCUGUUCUAUAAUCGAUAACCCACGAUCCACCCGACCACCCCUUGCCAAAACAGCCUACAUACCGCCGUCGUCAGUCCACCUUCACAUGAGAGGGUAACAGUGAACACAAUAGCCCCGCCCGCUAACAAGACAGGUCAAGGUAUAGCCUAUGGGGUGGAAGAAAUGGGCUACAUUUUCUGGAGCAGAAAACAACGAAAGGGGAUGUGAAAUCAUCCCCUAAAGGCGGAUUUAGCAGUAAAGCGGGACAAUAGAGCCCCCUUUAAACCGGCCCUGAGGCACGU
RNAcentral lists this ribosomal RNA (394 nucleotides) under Microcarbo melanoleucos (little pied cormorant). RNAcentral's name for it is "partial 12S small subunit ribosomal RNA". It matches the Rfam family "Bacterial small subunit ribosomal RNA", at positions 794 to 1384 of the family's 1533-position model. Lineage: Eukaryota; Metazoa; Chordata; Aves; Suliformes; Phalacrocoracidae. RNAcentral also lists the same sequence under 1 other name. The record is from RNAcentral.